UGGCGGACGGGUGAGUAAUGUCUGGGAAACUGCCCGAUGGAGGGGGAUAACUACUGGAAACGGUAGCUAAUACCGCAUAACGUCGCAAGACCAAAGAGGGGGACCUUAGGGCCUCUUGCCAUCGGAUGUGCCCAGAUGGGAUUAGCUAGUAGGCGGGGUAACGGCUCACCUAGGCGACGAUCCCUAGCUGGUCUGAGAGGAUGACCAGCCACACUGGAACUGAGACACGGUCCAG
This 235-nucleotide ribosomal RNA is filed under the name uncultured bacterium. RNAcentral's name for it is "partial 16S ribosomal RNA". It matches the Rfam family "Bacterial small subunit ribosomal RNA", at positions 96 to 334 of the family's 1533-position model. The record is from RNAcentral.